GAGGAUUACUUGAAAUUAUGUACACAAUCCUUUUAAAAAAGUGAACUAUAUUUUUAACAAUAUUUCUUGCAGUUUUCCCGUCUGUUAGAUACCGGCAGAUCUCUUCCUUCUCCUGGGUAUAAAAACUACAUAUCUCAGGCAGAUGUAGAUAAAAUAAUAAUGUUGGAAUACUCAGAAAAGGAUCUAUUCAAAGCAGACACUCCGACAGACUGGAGGUCCGUAUCUGGUUUGCUGGGUAGAAAGCUCCUAAAUAUAUUCAACAAAAUCAUGGAAGAUGACGACCUGUGUUUUGAAUGGAUUAUAUGCCAAG
Long non-coding RNA from Eurytemora carolleeae, 310 nucleotides. RefSeq lists it as uncharacterized. NCBI's taxonomy places the organism in Eukaryota, Metazoa, Arthropoda, Copepoda, Calanoida, Temoridae. The transcript has 3 exons. The record is from RefSeq and is a predicted model, not a curated record.